CACCGGCGGCUCGAGUGGUGGCCACUUUUAUUGGGUCUAAAGCGUCCGUAGCCGGCUUGGCAAGUCCCCUGGGAAAUCUGGCGGCUUAACCGUCAGGCGUCCAGAGGAUACUGCCAGGCUUGGGACCGGGAGAGGUGAGAGGUACCUCAGGGGUAGGGGUGAAAUCUUGUGAUCCCUGAGGGACCACCAGUGGCGAAGGCGUCUCACCAGAACGGAUCCGACGGCAAGGGACGAAAGCUAGGGGCACGAACCGG
This 254-nucleotide ribosomal RNA is filed under the name uncultured microorganism. RNAcentral describes it as "partial 16S ribosomal RNA". It matches the Rfam family "Archaeal small subunit ribosomal RNA", at positions 474 to 727 of the family's 1478-position model. The record is from RNAcentral.